AUGAACGCUGGCGGCGUGCCUAAUACAUGCAAGUCGAGCGAACAGACGAGGACCUUGCUCCUCUGACGUUAGCGGCGGACGGGUGAGUAACACGUGGAUAACCUACCUAUAAGACUGGGAUAACUUCGGGAAACCGGAGCUAAUACCGGAUAAUAUAUUAAACCGCAUGGUUCAAUAGUGAAAUACGGUUUUGCUGUCACUUAUAGAUGGAUCCGCGCCGCAUUAGCUAGUUGGUAAGGUAACGGCUUACCAAGGCAACGAUGCGUAGCCGACCUGAGAGGGUGAUCGGCCACACUGGAACUGAGACACGGUCCAGACUCCUACGGGAGGCAGCAGUAGGGAAUCUUCCGCAAUGGGCGAAAGCCUGACGGAGCAACGCCGCGUGAGUGAUGAAGGUCUUCGGAUCGUAAAACUCUGUUAUUAGGGAAGAACAAAUGUGUAAGUAACUAUGCACGUCUUGACGGUACCUAAUCAGAAAGCCACGGCUAACUACGUG
This 496-nucleotide ribosomal RNA is filed under the name uncultured bacterium. RNAcentral's name for it is "partial 16S ribosomal RNA". It matches the Rfam family "Bacterial small subunit ribosomal RNA", at positions 29 to 507 of the family's 1533-position model. The record is from RNAcentral.